Molecule: ribosomal RNA, 497 nt
Filed under: uncultured bacterium
Lineage: Bacteria
Description: partial 16S ribosomal RNA
Rfam family: Bacterial small subunit ribosomal RNA
Source: RNAcentral
GACGAACGCUGGCGGCGUGCCUAAUACAUGCCAGUUGAGCGCUGAAGGUUGGUACUUGUACCAACUGGAUGAGCAGCGAACGGAUGAGUAACGCGUGGGGAAUCUGCCUUUGAGCGGGGGACAACAUUUGGAAACGAAUGCUAAUACCGCAUAAAAACUUUAAACACAAGUUUUAAGUUUGAAAGAUGCAAUUGCAUCACUCAAAGAUGAUCCCGCGUUGUAUUAGCUAGUUGGUGAGGUAAAGGCUCACCAAGGCGAUGAUACAUAGCCGACCUGAGAGGGUGAUCGGCCACAUUGGGACUGAGACACGGCCCAAACUCCUACGGGAGGCAGCAGUAGGGAAUCUUCGGCAAUGGACGAAAGUCUGACCGAGCAACGCCGCGUGAGUGAAGAAGGUUUUCGGAUCGUAAAACUCUGUUGGUAGAGAAGAACGUUGGUGAGAGUGGAAAGCUCAUCAAGUGACGGUAACUACCCAGAAAGGGACGGCUAACUACGUG